Molecule: ribosomal RNA, 460 nt
Filed under: uncultured bacterium
Lineage: Bacteria
Description: partial 16S ribosomal RNA
Rfam family: Bacterial small subunit ribosomal RNA
Source: RNAcentral
CCUACGGGAGGCAGCAGUGAGGAAUAUUGGUCAAUGGGCGGGAGCCUGAACCAGCCAAGUCGCGUGAGGGAAGACGGUCCUAUGGAUUGUAAACCUCUUUAGGCGGGGAGCAAUGCCGGGCACGCGUGCCCGGAGGGAGAGUACCCUCAGAAUAAGCCUCGGCUAACUCCGUGCCAGCAGCCGCGGUAAUACGGAGGAUGCGAGCGUUAUCCGGAUUGAUUGGGUUUAAAGGGUGCGUAGGCGGAUUUUUAAGUCAGCGGUAAAAUGUCCGGGCUCAACCCGGGCCGGCCGUUGAAACUGGGGAUCUUGAGUGGGCGAGAAGUAUGCGGAAUGCGUGGUGUAGCGGUGAAAUGCAUAGAUAUCACGCAGAACUCCGAUUGCGAAGGCAGCAUACCGGCGCCCGACUGACGCUGAGGCACGAAAGCGUGGGGAUCGAACAGGAUUAGAUACCCUAGUAGUC